Immersiella caudata is the source of this 97-nucleotide non-coding RNA. Lineage: Eukaryota; Fungi; Ascomycota; Sordariomycetes; Sordariales; Lasiosphaeriaceae. The record is from the annotation of a GenBank genome assembly.
GCCCGAUUAGCCCAGCUGGCCAGAGCGUGAUACAAAUAUCUUCGCAUAGAGAUGUCAAGUAAUGCCAAAGUCAACAGUUCAAUCCUGUUCUUGGGCA